AGCUUAGGGGCCCUCUGUUUACUCCCUGCUCCCGGGGUCUCCAUAACAACUUAAUUACCCGGACCUCAGGUCCUUUCCUCCCACAGAGGCACGGUGGGACACAGUGGGCUCUCAUGGCCAAAUCCCAGCUCUGCCCAGUCUGGCUUAUGAUCUUGGAUAAGACAUCGGACUUCUCUGAGCCUCAUUUUCCUCCUCUUUAAAAAGGAACAUUGGGACUAGCAGACCAGCAACGGCGGAACAAUGCGACAGAGAAAGAGAGACCAGGAGGGACGCCUGGAUACCGAGGGGAGUUCGUCCGGGGACGGUCGGAGAAGAGUCCAGCCACUGGGCAGCCCGACUCCAGGGGAAGACCACCUUCCCACUGCAUCCCCCCAUUCUGGCUCCCCAUCCAUCUCUCGGAGAGCCACCUCUAUCACUCAAUAAAACCCUGCACUCAUA
Long non-coding RNA from Gorilla gorilla gorilla (western lowland gorilla), 438 nucleotides. RefSeq lists it as uncharacterized. The record is from RefSeq and is a predicted model, not a curated record. The transcript has 2 exons. Lineage: Eukaryota; Metazoa; Chordata; Mammalia; Primates; Hominidae.